RNA transcript from Felis catus (domestic cat), 1647 nucleotides. RefSeq lists it as uncharacterized. The transcript is spliced from 4 exons. NCBI's taxonomy places the organism in Eukaryota, Metazoa, Chordata, Mammalia, Carnivora, Felidae. The record is from RefSeq and is a predicted model, not a curated record.
UUGAAUGGAGAGGGGGCGCUCGGACCCUUCCUCUCCACAGGGAAACAACUACGCCCCGAAGUGGGGCGAGGAGAGGAGGCGGUCAAACUCCAAGAGCUGCACCUGGCUCUUGAAACUUGAACUCUGGGCGCCAGCAGUAAAUUGUGCGGAUAUUUGCUGGGGCUAGUUCCAUUAGGAAGGGGCGUGGGGGGAGGGAUUGUGUCUAUAGACCGCCGCCGCGCCCCCCACCCCAAGGCCACGGCCUACGCGUGUGACCCCAAGGCUUGGCAUCUACCACGUCGAGGCUGGGGGCCCUGGGGUCUCCCAGCGCUUAGCCACGCCGCCUAAGACUUCCUGUUGUGAGAUGCGCGCCGCGUCGCCAUGGAGACCUCUGAGGGGCCAGGGAGGUCGCGCAGCAGAAGGGGAAGGGAGGGAGCCCAGGGGACGUUCGAGCCCUUCCUUCGGAGGAUAGGGCUUCGAGUCACUCAUCAGCUAGAAAAGCAUCCCUUCUCCUGCCCUGAUGAUUCCUAAGGGAUUUCCACGGGGAUCUUCCUACGCGGGGUGUGGUGGGUGCUGAAAUCCCUCCCCGAACUGCCUGGGCAAAGGUGCAGGGCCCUGCGGUGUUCAGUGGGUGCCUGCUGUGAUAGGAAUCCUUUCAAGAGCUGGCGACAGGGCAGUGAAAAGGAAAGACAAACAUUUCGUCAUUGUGCAGAGAUGGUUCCAACGUGGGGGGACCGAUAAGAAACAAAAAUAUAUGGGUGAGGUGGGAGCCAUGGAGGAGGGACAGCCCCAGCUCCAGUGUUUACAGGCACCCUCCUGAGACAGCAGGAGCUAUGUCCCAGGGCCAGGGAGGACAGGAGGCCAGAGAGGAGGUGACUACUCUAGUCGAGGAAAAGGAAAGCGGAGGCUCCCCAGCCCUUCGCUGAAGUUGCCAGGAAGGGCAAGGCUUCCUCCCGGGUGCCAGGCAGUCUUGGGCAGUCCAGUGAGUGGACCCACUACAGACCAGAGGCCGCGGACUCGUGUCCCGCUUUGUGGCCUGGCCCCUGCUCUCCCUUCACUCUGAGCUGUGGCGUGGCCACCCCGCCCUUCCUGGCAGCUUCAGUGAAUUUCUUUUGUCCCCGAGCAUUCCGAACAUGCUGUUCCUCUCGCCCAGAAUUUCCUUCCCACCGCUUUCACAGGAGGUUCUCAGAGCAUUUCAUCCACAAGGUUGUGACACAAGGAGGAGCAGAUUGGGGUUCGGAUCCAGGCUCUGACAACUUAGCGGCUGUUUCAGUGGACGUUCUCCCCAAAAGCAGCCCCUGGAACCAAACUUGGUGUUCUGGCGGUCUAUACCUGGGAUGGGGGUUUGGGGGCAGUCGGGGAAGGCAACCAGGGAAGCUGUGGGUUAGUAUGGAGACCUCCUUUGGGGGCCACUGUGGUUCAGUCUCCCUGAGGAACCCCUUGGAGAUGGGCGGACUUUUUACGCCAAUCCCGUGCCUCGCUGGCUGGGUCGAAGCUCCUCCAGGAAUGUCAGCUCCCUGAUACUUCAUUACUCCAUAUGUACAUUUCUAUUCAUUUAUUUAAACAGUUUUGGGGCGCCUGGGUGGCGCAGUCGGUUAAGCCUCCGACUUCAGCUCAGGUCACGAUCUCGCGGUCCGUGAGUUCGAGCCCCCGCGUCAGGAUCUGGGC